UGUCUCCUCCACCCUCCUUGGUGGAUUGCGGCCCGAGCACCAGGUGCUCGGGCCUUUUUUC
RNAcentral lists this non-coding RNA (61 nucleotides) under Ralstonia solanacearum. Its description in RNAcentral is "Betaproteobacteria_toxic_sRNA". It matches the Rfam family "Betaproteobacteria toxic small RNA". From Rfam's summary of the family: Overexpression in amino aid rich medium attenuates growth, suggesting role in repressing amino acid intake and metabolism. Lineage: Bacteria; Pseudomonadati; Pseudomonadota; Betaproteobacteria; Burkholderiales; Burkholderiaceae. The record is from RNAcentral.